CAUGGGAGAAGGCAUAACAGAAGAGCCGUGCACAUGACUGAAUAGCUGGUUUCCUUUGAGAAAAGGAACCAUUUGAACUUUCCACAGCAAAUAAUUGUCUAUGGUAAGUUUAAUGGUAACGAAAUGGUUGGCAGUGUUGAUGAUAGAUGUGUUGACAAUGAGGGAUGGGUUAUGGGUUGAAUUUUCGGACGAAAUGGACGAGUCCAUUUUCUGUAAAGGACAACGUGAGUCUUACUGGGCUCUGGAUACCAUGUUGAAAUGAAAACAACUGUUCUAGAGUCUUCUGUAGGUGUACUGCCUAGUUCUCCUUUGAUCGGCCUGCUGCAAGCUCCUUCUUCAUUUGCUCUCAAUUCUAUGGCAGAGUGUCGACUAUCCUUGACAAUUAUAAACAGCCCGAAGCAUAAGACAAAACUACAGAUUCACUCGCUACUAUCUUUUUAAUCUACGCAAUUCAUUCACCUUUGGGACGUCUAACUUAUCAUGUGGAAGUGUUGAUUUUUCAUCAGACAAGACCAACAAACUUCAUGAUCACUCUUCUCUCU
Molecule: long non-coding RNA, 542 nt
Organism: Juglans microcarpa x Juglans regia
Lineage: Eukaryota; Viridiplantae; Streptophyta; Magnoliopsida; Fagales; Juglandaceae
Exons: 2
Source: RefSeq, a predicted model, not a curated record